UUGAAAAAUAUAAUUUCAACAACAUCCCUUCAAUGGGGUGUAUCCAUUCACCGUACAUUUAUGAAGACCGUAUGGAGAUAAAUAAAAAUAUUUCCUUCGAUAUGCGUUUCAUUACAAACGCAAUUGCCUACCAGCGGGCAUAGAGUAGCAACAUCUACAAUACACUGGCAAAAUUGCACAACUAUUUAAAUAGGCAAAUGUUAUAGCCAAAUGCCUCGUCAUCUAAUUAGUGACGCGCAUGAAUGGAUUAACGAGAUUCUCACUGUCCCUAUCUACUUUCUAGCGAAACCACUGCCAAGGGAACGGGCUUGG
Molecule: non-coding RNA, 312 nt
Filed under: Habropoda laboriosa
Lineage: Eukaryota; Metazoa; Arthropoda; Insecta; Hymenoptera; Apidae
Description: Eukaryotic large subunit ribosomal RNA
Rfam family: Eukaryotic large subunit ribosomal RNA
Source: Rfam by way of RNAcentral